CACGGGAAAGCGGCACGCAGCUGGAGCGUGUGGGCACCGUACGGUACCGUACCGGAGAUGCGCAUCACGUCCGGGUGGUUCGAAGGGCGGCGCUAGACAGACGGGAGGCAACGCUGACCGCAGCGAAACCGAGUUAAUUACCCCCUUUUGACGCCGGCGGAGGACCCGAGGCCCGCACCUCGGCCCACGAACGCACGAGGAUCGGCUCUGCGUUUCAGGCCCUUCUUCGCAUCAAACGCGGAGGAGGGAAGAAGCAAGAUCUGAGAGACGGAGCCCAAUAGAGAUCAAAUGGGCUCUGUGAGAGCGGCCAAAAUAAAGGACACGGCUGAUGAAAUGGAGUCUGGAGCCACAGAAUGGUACGACCCGGGCAAAGGAGCCAAACGGGAAGAUCCUGACCAGUUACCCUUAACCAGCAAUUAUUCAGCAGAGUAUUACUUUCUACAAGAAUUGCAUUCAUCCAAGAAUGCUCUUUUCGGGACGUUCAAACGUGCACUAUUUAUCAUCUAUUUCCAGCACUCAAAAAAAUGCAUAUUUUGCUAAAAAGAAAAUCAUCCAUUAUGAACUGUGAUAGAUGGACAAUUCCAUACUUACCGUUCGACAUGCACGCUAAAAUGUUUCAUGCCUAAUAAAAAACUACAGGACGUGC
Scleropages formosus (Asian bonytongue) is the source of this 646-nucleotide long non-coding RNA. RefSeq lists it as uncharacterized. The record is from RefSeq and is a predicted model, not a curated record. Lineage: Eukaryota; Metazoa; Chordata; Actinopteri; Osteoglossiformes; Osteoglossidae. The transcript has 3 exons.